Long non-coding RNA from Lolium rigidum, 952 nucleotides. RefSeq lists it as uncharacterized. NCBI's taxonomy places the organism in Eukaryota, Viridiplantae, Streptophyta, Magnoliopsida, Poales, Poaceae. The record is from RefSeq and is a predicted model, not a curated record. The transcript is spliced from 3 exons.
UAAAGAGCCAUAUGGUAGCAAUCAAAGCAUUUUCCAUUAAUAAGCCGAAAAGUUAAACCUUUGUGAUAUGAGUUAUAACAUAAAAACUGUGGUUGUUUUAACGAUGGUGAAUCUGCUCUUUGGUUAUUUGCGAUGGUGUGGUGUGUUCCUGGUUCUGAAGGUGAGGAAUUUACAUGCAUUUGGUUGUGGCUGCACUUAGUUUAGAAUUACUGUGCAGUUUUGAUUUUGAGAGUUCAUUCACUGAAAAGUAGAAGCUGCAGUUCAUUCUCUGAUCAUAGAAACUGCUUCAUCAUUCAUCACACUGGACUGGGAUAAAUGUGGAUUAUAUUGUUGUCUAUAAUUAUUUUGGUGUCAUAUGGCUAAGUGCGGGAUUGCCUUGUGUAAAACUAACAGUAGAUAACUUGACGCAUGGUUAUUGCAGUCUGCCAUCGAGGGAGACAUGAAGCUGAGGGUGGUCAUCAUGGACAGCGAGGCUGCAGUGGUGACGGCGACGGAGAGGAGCACCGCCAAGGAGAAGCUCUAGGAACCUUGAAGAAAAUAAACUAGCAACUUAGGGAACAGAUAUUCCUUAGGAUCUUGUUCCCCACCAGAAGUUGCUUCAAGAAUCCCUAAAGAAGGAGCACCAGCUAAGAUGCGGAACACCUGCGGCCAGCGUCGAUGUGUUCGUGUUCGAAGACCUAACAGCGGCAGAGUGGAAGCGGUUAACGGAGGGAGCAGCGGCGGACGAAAAGGGAGCUGCGGUGGCGGACGCUCUCUCCGAGGAGCGGCGGCGCGCGGUCAUCCGGAUGGGAAGAUGUUGUCUUGAAUCAGACGUAUUUUGGAAAGUUGUAAAAUUGAACAGAGUAUCUGUAAAACGUGGCUUUAUCUGACCCCACCCUUAUAAUAUUGCUUAAUUAAUGUAAUAGCAACUAUAUGGUGAAGGUGGACGUUUGGUGGGUAGUUUUUUUUUUAA